This 689-nucleotide ribosomal RNA is filed under the name uncultured Anaplasmataceae bacterium. RNAcentral's name for it is "bacterial SSU rRNA". It matches the Rfam family "Bacterial small subunit ribosomal RNA", at positions 62 to 779 of the family's 1533-position model. Lineage: Bacteria; Pseudomonadati; Pseudomonadota; Alphaproteobacteria; Rickettsiales; Anaplasmataceae. The record is from RNAcentral.
UCGAACGGAGUUAUAUUAUAGCUUGCUAUGGUAUAACUUAGUGGCAGACGGGCGAGUAAUGCAUAGGAAUCUACCUAGUAGUACGGAAUAAUUGUUGGAAACGGCAACUAAUACCGUAUACGCCCUACGGGGGAAAAAUUUAUUGCUAUUAGAUGAGCCUAUAUUAGAUUAGCUAGUUGGUGGGGUAAUAGCCUACCAAGGCAAUGAUCUAUAGCUGAUCUGAGAGGAUGAUCAGCCACACUGGAACUGAGAUACGGUCCAGACUUCUACGGGAGGCAGCAGUGGGGAAUAUUGGACAAUGGGCGAAAGCCUGAUCCAGCCAUGUCGCGUGAGUGAAGAAGGCCUUUGGGUUGUAAAGCUCUUUUAGUGAGGAAGAUAAUGACGGUACUCACAGAAGAAGUCCUGGCUAACUCCGUGCCAGCAGCCGCGGUAAUACGGAGAGGGCUAGCGUUAUUCGGAAUUAUUGGGCGUAAAGGGCGCGUAGGCUGAUUAAUAAGUUAAAAGUGAAAUCCCGAGGCUUAACCUUGGAAUUGCUUUUAAAACUAUUAAUCUAGAGAUUGAAAGAGGAUAGAGGAAUUCCUGAUGUAGAGGUAAAAUUCGUAAAUAUUAGGAGGAACACCAGUGGCGAAGGCGUCUAUCUGGUUCAAAUCUGACGCUGAGGCGCGAAGGCGUGGGGAGCAAACAGGAUU